GGUAUUUAAGGUGAGUGCCUCGGGUAUAUAAUUUGUAGUCUAAAUUUUGUUCUUUGUGACAUGUUAUUUUACCUGCAAAAUAUAGAAAUUUUAUUUUUAUUAUUACUAUUAUUUUGUUGCUGUUGUCAUUGAUAUUGAUUUAGCUUGGCGCCCUACUCCUCAAAACUAAAUGCCUAGCUCCAUCACUAGAUACGCCAAUCAUUUUUUUUCCCCUUAGUGUUCAGUGCUUUAUGUGCUUUGUCUCCAUGCCUGUUGAAUUUAUGGUUACUAGAGUCCCUAAUCUUUUUCCCCCUAUUUUCUUCUUAUGCAGCUUAUUUCUUUGUCUGGGAAA
This 331-nucleotide unclassified non-coding RNA is filed under the name Hevea brasiliensis (rubber tree). The record is from RNAcentral. Lineage: Eukaryota; Viridiplantae; Streptophyta; Magnoliopsida; Malpighiales; Euphorbiaceae.